Molecule: ribosomal RNA, 371 nt
Filed under: uncultured organism
Description: bacterial SSU rRNA
Rfam family: Bacterial small subunit ribosomal RNA
Source: RNAcentral
CAGAGGGUGCGAGCGUUAAUCGGAAUUACUGGGCGUAAAGCGCACGUAGGCGGCUUGGUAUGUCGGGUGUGAAAUCCCCGGGCUCAACCUGGGAACUGCAUCCGAAACUGCCCUGCUAGAGUAUGGGAGAGGGAAGUGGAAUUUCCGGUGUAGCGGUGAAAUGCGUAGAUAUCGGAAGGAACAUCAGUGGCGAAGGCGACUUCCUGGACCAAUACUGACGCUCAGGUGCGAAAGCGUGGGGAGCAAACAGGAUUAGAUACCCUGGUAGACCACGCCCUAAACGAUGACAACUGGAUGUCGGGAGGGUCUGCCUUCCGGUGUCGUAGCUAACGCGUUAAGUUGUCCGCCUGGGAAGUACGGCCGCAAGGUUG